GGGGAUUUAGCUCAGUGGUAGAGCGCUUGCCUACAAGCGCAAGGCCCUGGGUUCGGUCCCCAGUUCCCA
Non-coding RNA from Rattus norvegicus (Norway rat), 69 nucleotides. Lineage: Eukaryota; Metazoa; Chordata; Mammalia; Rodentia; Muridae. The record is from Rfam.